GACAGAGGGGGCAAGCGUUGCUCGGAAUUACUGGGCGUAAAGGGCGCGUAGGCGGCACGGCAAGUCGGGAGUGAAAGCCCGGGGCUCAACCCCGGAGGGUCUCUCGAAACUGCCGAGCUAGAGUGCGGAAGAGGCAAUCGGAAUUCCCAGUGUAGCGGUGAAAUGCGUAGAUAUUGGGAAGAACACCGGAGGCGAAGGCGGAUUGCUGGGCCGACACUGACGCUGAGGCGCGAAAGCCAGGGGAGCAAACGGG
RNAcentral lists this ribosomal RNA (253 nucleotides) under uncultured bacterium. RNAcentral's name for it is "partial 16S ribosomal RNA". It matches the Rfam family "Bacterial small subunit ribosomal RNA", at positions 524 to 776 of the family's 1533-position model. The record is from RNAcentral.